Molecule: ribosomal RNA, 534 nt
Filed under: Craugastor bransfordii (Bransford's litter frog)
Lineage: Eukaryota; Metazoa; Chordata; Amphibia; Anura; Craugastoridae
Description: partial 16S large subunit ribosomal RNA
Rfam family: Bacterial large subunit ribosomal RNA
Source: RNAcentral
CGCCUCUCGCAUCUCAUAAGAGGUCUAGCCUGCCCAGUGACUUUAUUCAACGGCCGCGGUACACUAACCGUGCAAAGGUAGCAUAAUCACUUGUCUCUUAAAUAGGGACCUGUAUGAACGGCAUCACGAGGAUUUUACUGUCUCCCCCCACCAAUCAGUGAAACUAAUCCCCCUGUGAAAAAGCAGGAGUAUAUAUACAAGACGAGAAGACCCUAUGGAGCUUAAAAUUAAUAACACUUACUACUUCCCUUAAACAUAAUCACUUAGUAUCGUGCUUACACAUUUUCGGUUGGGGUGACCCCGGAGUAAAGCCUAACCUCCACGCUGUAUAUUUAAGAACCACCAUUCUAUCAAUCAAUAAAUUGACAUAUUGACCCAAAAACUUGAUCAACGAACUAAGUUACCCUAGGGAUAACAGCGCCAUCCACUUCAAGAGUACAUAUCAACAAGUGGGCUUACGACCUCGAUGUUGGAUCAGGAUCCCCCAGUGGUGCAGUCGCUACUAAAGGUUUGUUUGUUCAACAAUUAAAAUCC